UACGUAGGGGGCAAGCGUUGUCCGGAAUUAUUGGGCGUAAAGCGCGCGCAGGCGGUCCUUUAAGUCUGAUGUGAAAGCCCACGGCUCAACCGUGGAGGGUCAUUGGAAACUGGGGGACUUGAGUGCAGAAGAGGAAAGCGGAAUUCCACGUGUAGCGGUGAAAUGCGUAGAGAUGUGGAGGAACACUAGUGGCGAAGGCGGCUUUCUGGUCUGUAACUGACGCUGAGGCGCGAAAGCGUGGGGAGCAAACAGG
This 253-nucleotide ribosomal RNA is filed under the name uncultured bacterium. RNAcentral describes it as "partial 16S ribosomal RNA". It matches the Rfam family "Bacterial small subunit ribosomal RNA", at positions 524 to 776 of the family's 1533-position model. The record is from RNAcentral.